AAUAUUUUCAUUGAUAGUGCACAGCAAACUUGACAAAGAAAGAAAAUUUUGUUAAGAUUUGGAAUAGUUCCCCCCUGGCCCCCCUCUCUUUUUCGCUCUAUGUACCCUCUUUUCACAUAGUAGGGUUACAUGUACACACUUCAAACAAUAUAAAGAUGGGUGUAACAAUAUCAGACAACUACCAGCCGGGUUAAACUGCUUGCUCAUCUACCAGUUUUUCCCUCUCUGCACAAAAGAAUGAGCAUUGGCACACAUACAAGGGCCAACUCAAGAUGAAUUGGUCAGAACAUUCCUUGAUGAAGGUUGUCAGGAGGAACAUCUGGCAUACAUCAGACCAAAUUGAUUGAUGACCUUUGUUGAAUAGAUCUCAAGCAAGGGGGAAAAAGGAGAAGCUAAGGAAAUGUAAAGAAACCCCAUGCUAAUCACAUCAUCCAUUAGUUGGCUGCCAUCUUAUGUUGUAGGAUUGAUCCUUCUACAUAUGUUUCUUGGUAUGCCUUUGGGUGCAAAAAUGAAGGAUAUUGUUGUAUGGCAAGGGGUGAUUGAAUAAAUAUGGACAAAGCAGUACAGAUCCUUUAGAGGCAGGCUAACACAUACUGACAAUUUUCUCAAUGGAAUUCCCACUCAUAUUAUUUCCUUAUUUCCCAUGCUUUCAAAGGUUGAAAGUCAAUUGGAUAGGAUUAGAAGAAAUUUCCUACGAGAAGGGGGCCAAAACAAGAGAAAGCUCUAUUUGGUGAAACAGGAAACUGAUACAAGAGGCAAAAAAACUGGGGGAUCGAGAAUCAAGAAUUUGAAGAUGCAGCACAAUAGUUUUAUUAAAAUGGCAUUAGAGGUUUAAUGACAGAAGAAAUAACUUACAGGAAAAUGCUAUUACUCUUAAAUAUGGUAAAGGAGAUGAAUUGUGCACCAACAAUGUUAAAAGUGUUGAUGGCUUCUGCUAGGAAAUACAUCGUGGGCCUCUGUGAUGAAAUUUUUGUAAUGAUCGUCUAGGUCAUUCCCUCUUCUUGUGUUAUUUUAGGCGUUUAGAACUUUCCUAUAGCAGCCCCUAGUCAUUUUUUACUACAUGGACUCACAGUUUUGUCACUUGGUCGUUCGUUUCGUUUUGUGCGAGUUUUCGUGUUUUGGAGCUUUGAAACUUUUACUUUAGACUUCGGUCAAAAAUUCAAGUCGGCAGCCUCAGAAUGCAACUAUGACGGUUCUGCUAUCUACGAAACAUCAGGUUUGGUCUAGGACCUUUGGUGCGGAUCUUGGGGCUUUUGGUGUGAGAUCCACUUUUUGUUGAGACAACCUCCAUCAGAAGUCAUUUAAGUGGUCUGUUUUAAAAGAGCAUUCUCGAAAAAUCUAAUCAAAUGUGCAAAUUGGUGAAGUUGAUUUCUUGGUCUCUAGAGCUGUGAUUGAGUUUGUUUUCAUCUCAUUAGGUCAGGAAUUAAUGGAGCUACGUGUUGGAACCAUGAGACUGUGGGGGAAUCGGAUUAGAGCAUGGCAGCAAAUGGAGGUGGUUCAGAAGGGUAAAGCUUUGUUUUAGUGGAUUUGAAGUGUGCACGGUCAACUUUGAGGUAGGCUACGACUUACCAGUCUUUUGAUUGAGCUUCUGUUAGUAAUUGAUUAGCUAGCUUUGGGUGGGGUGUCUAGCUUGUAUCAUAUUAAAGUGAUAAACCGCAUGCCUUAGCCUUAGCCUUAUUUUCGGAUAGUUUCGGAAAUUGAGCAUGCCUACUUGGUUGCGUGGAUGGUAUCGUGUGUUGUGGUAUCUUUAGUGUUGGUUGUAUUGAUUGGUAGCUUGUUCUUGGUUAGCCUAGACGUAGGCUAGUGAUUUCCUUAGACUUGCGAUUUGGAACCGUUUUGCCAUAGAAAUUCUCUAACGUCGCUUCGUAUAACUUAACUCUCUGUAGACCGAUAUAACACACUUGGGUAUGAUAUAUGAAUCCUUAUCUAGACGACAACUCAACUCUUGUAACUGUUCAUCCAUAACUUCUCUUAUGUUUCGACCCUGAUUUGUUCUUUGGCGAUUUCUGGCCUUGUUGGCUGUGUUGGGUUAGGUCUGGGACUCGAGCUAGAGUGGGUUCCCGUUGACUCUGAAGAUGGUUUCGCUCUAUGGUAUCUUCCCGUAUUGAGAAGAGCGUAUGAUUGGGAGACAUUCAGAGUCUACUAGCCGCAGUUUGAGGUUCAUGCGCAUAAUUAAUAGAUGCGGUUUGAGGUUCAUGUGCAUGUCUAUUAGUCAUGGUUCGAGGUCUGGGCGUAUUUCUAGUAGCCACAAUUUAAGUAUGGGUAUCAAUUCUAUUAGUCGAGAUCUAGCCAUGACUUGGUGAUUCUAUUAGGUUCUUUGGGAUGCCUUCACCGUGGUUUGAGUCCAAGGAUGACCAUUUCAGUUGUAGAAUACACUAGACUUAGUUAGUGUCACCUUUAGCUCUUUGUGUUCUCAACUACUCAUCGGGCUUAUGGGGUAUGUUUGAGUUAUUUAAUUUCGAAUUACGUACGAGUGUACCUUCUGGGCUUAUCAGGGUCAGUUAGGUUAUAGCAAAUUGUUUUACUUUACCAUAUGGUCCUUGUUCUAGAUCGUGGACUAUAUAGUUAGGAUUUUCGUUAUCGCUUCGUUCUUGUGACCUCUAGUUGCUGUUACUUUCUCGCUUUCAUAUUGUUUUUACUUUCUCAGCUCAGUUGGCCUAUGAUGCUACUGGUACAUGUUAUUUUGGUACUCAUGCUACACUUUGCAUCUGUUUUCUUGAUGCCGAUCCGAGCACUAGCUAACAAUGGUGAUUCGAGCCUUCUUGGAGCCUGUCUUCAGAGAUAGAAGGUGAGAUGAUGGCGUCCUAGUUCGACCAAUCUCCAUCUGUAUAUAGUUUUUGACUAGUCUUUUGUAUUCAAGACAAAUAUGUACUUUUUGAUCCACUUUUGGGACUAGUACUCUUAUAGUAGAUUCGUACUUUCGUUCCCAGGUCGUGGGAUUGGAUCUUGUAUUUUGGCCUUUGUAUAGAUUGUUGUUGUUCUCUUUUCCA
Long non-coding RNA from Solanum pennellii, 2990 nucleotides. RefSeq lists it as uncharacterized. The transcript has 2 exons. The record is from RefSeq and is a predicted model, not a curated record. Lineage: Eukaryota; Viridiplantae; Streptophyta; Magnoliopsida; Solanales; Solanaceae.